Molecule: ribosomal RNA, 497 nt
Filed under: uncultured bacterium
Lineage: Bacteria
Description: partial 16S ribosomal RNA
Rfam family: Bacterial small subunit ribosomal RNA
Source: RNAcentral
GAUGAACGCUGGCGGCGUGCCUAAUACAUGCAAGUCGAGCGAACGGACGAGAAGCUUGCUUCUCUGAUGUUAGCGGCGGACGGGUGAGUAACACGUGGAUAACCUACCUAUAAGACUGGGAUAACUUCGGGAAACCGGAGCUAAUACCGGAUAAUAUUUUGAACCGCAUGGUUCAAAAGUGAAAGACGGUCUUGCUGUCACUUAUAGAUGGAUCCGCGCUGCAUUAGCUAGUUGGUAAGGUAACGGCUUACCAAGGCAACGAUGCAUAGCCGACCUGAGAGGGUGAUCGGCCACACUGGACCUGAGACACGGUCCAGCCUCCUACGGGAGGCAGCAGUAGGGAAUCUUCCGCAUAGGGCGAAAGCCUGACGGAGCAACGCCGCGUGAGUGAUGAAGGUCUUCGGAUCGUAAAACUCUGUUAUUAGGGAAGAACAUAUGUGUAAGUAACUGUGCACAUCUUGACGGUACCUAAUCAGAAAGCCACGGCUAACUACGUG